UACGGAGGGGGCUAGCGUUGCUCGGAAUCACUGGGCGUAAGGGGCGCGUAGGCGGCCUGAUCAGUCGGGGGUGAAAGCCUGUGGCUCAACCACAGAAUGGCCUUCGAUACUGUCGGGCUUGAGACCGGAAGAGGUAAGUGGAACUGCGAGUGUAGAGGUGAAAUUCGUAGAUAUUCGCAAGAACACCAGUGGCGAAGGCGGCUUACUGGUCCGGAUCUGACGCUGAGGCGCGAAAGCGUGGGGAGCAAACAGG
RNAcentral lists this ribosomal RNA (253 nucleotides) under uncultured bacterium. RNAcentral describes it as "partial 16S ribosomal RNA". It matches the Rfam family "Bacterial small subunit ribosomal RNA", at positions 524 to 776 of the family's 1533-position model. The record is from RNAcentral.